Molecule: non-coding RNA, 71 nt
Organism: Rattus norvegicus (Norway rat)
Lineage: Eukaryota; Metazoa; Chordata; Mammalia; Rodentia; Muridae
Source: Rfam
GGGGAUUUAGCUCAGUGGUAGAGCGCUUGCCUAGGAAGCGCAAGGCCCCUGGGUUCGGUCCCCAGCUCCCG